This 1343-nucleotide ribosomal RNA is filed under the name uncultured bacterium. RNAcentral describes it as "16S ribosomal RNA". It matches the Rfam family "Bacterial small subunit ribosomal RNA", at positions 28 to 1378 of the family's 1533-position model. The record is from RNAcentral.
GACGAACGCUGGCGGCGUGCUUAACACAUGCAAGUCGAACGGAAAGGCCCUGCUUUUGUGGGGUGCUCGAGUGGCGAACGGGUGAGUAACACGUGAGUAACCUGCCCUUGACUUUGGGAUAACUUCAGGAAACUGGGGCUAAUACCGGAUAGGAGCUCCUGCUGCAUGGUGGGGGUUGGAAAGUUUCGGCGGUUGGGGAUGGACUCGCGGCUUAUCAGCUUGUUGGUGGGGUAGUGGCUUACCAAGGCUUUGACGGGUAGCCGGCCUGAGAGGGUGACCGGCCACAUUGGGACUGAGAUACGGCCCAGACUCCUACGGGAGGCAGCAGUGGGGAAUAUUGCACAAUGGGCGGAAGCCUGAUGCAGCAACGCCGCGUGCGGGAUGACGGCCUUCGGGUUGUAAACCGCUUUCGCCUGUGACGAAGCGUGAGUGACGGUAAUGGGUAAAGAAGCACCGGCUAACUACGUGCCAGCAACCGCGGUGAUACGUAGGGUGCGAGCGUUGUCCGGAUUUAUUGGGCGUAAAGGGCUUGUAGGUGGUUGAUCGCGUCGGAAGUGUAAUCUUGGGGCUUAACCCUGAGCGUGCUUUCGAUACGGGUUGACUUGAGGAAGGUAGGGGAGAAUGGAAUUCCUGGUGGAGCGGUGGAAUGCGCAGAUAUCAGGAGGAACACCAGUGGCGAAGGCGGUUCUCUGGGCCUUUCCUGACGCUGAGGAGCGAAAGCGUGGGGAGCGAACAGGCUUAGAUACCCUGGUAGCCCACGCUGUAAACGGUGGGUACUAGGUGUGGGGUCCAUUCCACGGGUUCCGUGCCGUAGCUAACGCUUUAAGUACCCCGCCUGGGGAGUACGGCCGCAAGGCUAAAACUCAAAGGAAUUGACGGGGCCCCGCACAAGCGGCGGAGCAUGCGGAUUAAUUCGAUGCAACGCGUAGAACCUUACCUGGGUUUGACAUGGAUCGGGAGUGCUCAGAGAUGGGUGUGCCUCUUUUGGGGUCGGUUCACAGGUGGUGCAUGCCUGUCGUCAGCUCGUGUCGUGAGAUGUUGGGUUAAGUCCCGCAACGAGCGCAACCCUUGUUCACUGUUGCCAGCACGUUAUGGUGGGGACUCAGUGGAGACCGCCGGGGUCAACUCGGAGGAAGGUGGGGAUGACGUCAAGUCAUCAUGCCCCUUAUGUCCAGGGCUUCACGCAUGCUACAAUGGCUGGUACAGAGAGUGGCGAGCCUGUGAGGGUGAGCGAAUCUCGGAAAGCCGGUCUCAGUUCGGAUUGGGGUCUGCAACUCGACCUCAUGAAGUCGGAGUCGCUAGUAAUCGCAGAUCAGCAACGCUGCGGUGAAUACGUUCCCGGG